CAGUAGCCGCGGGAAAACGGAGGGGGCUAGCGUUGUUCGGAAUUACUUGGCGUAAAGCGCACGUAAGCGGCUUGGUAAGUUAGAGGUGAAAGCCUGGAGCUCAACUCCAGAAUCGCCUUUAAGACUGCCGAGCUAGCAGGUGAGAGAGGUAAGUGGAAUUCCGAGUGUAGAGGUGAAAUUCGUAGAUAUUCGGAAGAACACCAGUGGCGAAGGCGGCUUACUGGCUCAUACUGGACGCUGAGGUGCGAAAGCGUGGGGAGCAAACAGGAUUAGAGACCCGGGUAGUCCCUGUCUCUUAUAC
This 301-nucleotide ribosomal RNA is filed under the name uncultured bacterium. RNAcentral describes it as "partial 16S ribosomal RNA". It matches the Rfam family "Bacterial small subunit ribosomal RNA", at positions 509 to 807 of the family's 1533-position model. The record is from RNAcentral.